UUCAACAAACUUCACUUUUGGCCUUUAAAAAAAAAAGGUUAAAUCUUCCUAGAAAACAAGUUACAGUGCUUUGUUAAGAAGGAAAAAACCACAGAGACUAUGAACGAACCAAGUAACAUGCUGACAACUGUUGGAAGACACUUUCCCUAAAUGACUAGUUAUUUGUUUUCUUCUACCCCUCUUUCUUUUUCUUCAUCUCGGGGCAAAUCAUCUCAUGCUUUCUCCAAUAAAGAAACUUUCUGCUUGAUGAAUAUAAUAUCCAUACUCCUAUGAUUAACACUGCCCCAAAUAUGCCAUGGAGUGAUCCCUGAACCCCACUGCUAAAGCUUAGUGACCAAACAGGGACGGGCCAAGGAAAGACAAAUACAAACACCUGGGCUACUGUGAUGGCUGAAAUUUCCUAUUUUCUGGCUGAACAGAUUUAAAUUAUCAACCUGGAACCCGGAAAACAUCGUAGUUGUGAAAACAGAAUUUCCAAUGAGCAGCUUCCUAUGUGCGAUCACUUCAAACUUUGCCGAUGAUUGGAUACUUUCUAACAAAAAAUAAAAGCGUAAGGAGUCUGCAGAAGAGGACCUUACUUCAGAAGUUAAAACAUCUCUAGUUCUAUCUUCCAGUGGUUAACUCAGAGUGACUGCCAGACAGGUUUGGCACAGAAGCUUGGGUGAUGUGACAACCUAUAUACAUAACAUUUUGUCAAACUGAAGGAAAGCUUAGCAAAUACAAUGCAGCAGCAUCCUUUAAUAAUCUGCCAGUAGACAGUCGGGAUCUCUGUGGACAUCUGACAAGGAAUAUGCUUUCUGCCAGGGCAGAACAAUGUCACCACUGUUUUUCAAAAAUGCUUCAAAGUCAUUAGGGCAAAUUACUCAGAAAGCAAAUAUUUGCAUGUUUGACCACACUUAGAGCAGGAUACUCGAAUUUGAUACAUGACUUAGAAAGUGAAAUUCAAAGCCUCCAUGACGUGACAUAUUUGCAAUAUCUUCUUAAAUUCCCAGGCACUUUUACUGUUAUUAUUUCAUCUGUAUUGCUGUGUUUCAAAUCCAUCAUAAGAGAAAAGCGAUUAAGGACUGAGAACAAAGGCUAGCUUCUCAGCUUUAAUCUUCUGAAAGUUACUGCUGAAGUCCCUAUGACAGCAAAUCUAAAAAUCAUUCGCUGCAGUUUUAAGUUUCACCUUUUAAAUAGGAAGUCAUGAUUACAGAACCAUCAGGAAACUAACACCUUGGAGAAGAAAUAACUGUCUCAGUUCCAACAUUUAACCUAAAGGGUUAGAUCAUAAUUCCUGAAGUGAAGUUUUGAAAAGAUCUCUUAGCUAGGACUUACUAAUCCCAGGUUUUGAUUCCACUAUGAAUUUGUCUGUGUGGACUUUCAUAACCUUGAUCAAAUCUGAGCUUCUGUUUUCUUGUUUUUGAAAAAAGAAAAUCAGAUUCGACGGUUGUUGGAUCCCUUUCAGCUCUGAAGUUUUUCACUUCUAUGACACAGAAUGUGUAACAUUUGAACACACACCUAACACAAGGCCACAGUUGAAGGUGGUCACCUAUUUAGUCCAUUUGCAUGAGGAAAAAAAGGAUAGGAAUCACAUGGUUUAUCAUUCUCCGGGCUGGCUUUGCUCAGUAGCGUUUCCCUGGCAGACUCACGAGGAGGAUGAAAAUACCUCUGUGGCAUAUGACAGACUCUUUGUUGAUAUCCAGGAGCUCUUUUUCAAGGCGCUGAAUCUGUUGGUAGCCAUCUGAGCAUGAGGAGGAAUGAAAAGAACAAAAAUGCCAGUGGCCACAAGAGCAUCAGUAGCCACGAACCAGAAGAUGGUUCAUGAGGUAAGAGUAAGACUGUUGUUGAUCACAUCAUGGAUAUUUCAGAAUAUCCAUCAAUGUGACUAUAAACAUAUGGGGAGUAAUCAUUGCUAAUGUCAGGGAAAUAUAAUUAUUGUUCUCUAGAGAUCCAGAAGGAUUACUGUUAUCAUAAAUGUCUACACACACACACACACACACACACACACACACACACACACACACCAAGCUCUAUGGUUUGGCCAUCAUUCGCCUCUAAGCUAUUACAUGUAGUGAAAAGCUCUUUUCGUUCCACUCUUUCCACCUGUAGGGCUUCUCUGCAUUCUUUCAUUAUUGGUUGCCCUUUUCCAGUGAUGGAUCCAUCACUAGGUCCCUGCCUGACCGUGAUAUCUAAUACUCCUCACAGCUGUCACCUCUGUGUGGCCAUCACUUUACUGACAUUGCCUUUAAUCUAUGACACUCAACGCUGCUCCUCUCUCCACAGUUUUUCUUUAUUUUUCAUAGGUAUCUUUACUUCUAACAUGUCUUACCUUCAGAGCAAAUGCUAACCUUUUAGAGACAAUAGCCACCAAUAAUAUGGCAUCUCAUAGAUGCAAAAAUGCCCCACAGUUAUCAGCCUAUAAUAAAUACUCAUAGAAAGAUGUGCAUUUUCUACUUACGUUCAUGACCAACAACCCAUUCAAAUACCUAGGUGGAGUUCUCCAUUCUUUGCCACUAUGAAACAUCAGUAAUUCAGAUAAAUGCUAACUGUAGUAACUGUGCAUCCUGAAGAAAUGGGCACCAUAAAACUUCGGUCAUGCCACUUCUAAUGUCUAAAAUUAGAAUUUCCAAUUUUUAAGUUUCUAUGGUUAUAAAAUUAAUCUGACUUCAUAUUUUGAUAACUCAAACUAUAUGGCAAAGUUCUAAUCUGAUUUUGUCAAGUUUUACUAAAUACAAAGUUCAUGUUAUAUUUAGUAGACCAAGAAGUAUGUCAUGACAGUUUAAUUUUGUCCUAAAUUCUUCCUAAAAAAAGAAUUAUCAAUAAAAGAGACUGUGGCUUUCAUUAACCACUGACAUUUUAAAAUGUCAAUUUUACUGAAAUAUGCCCUUUCUAUUUUAAUAACAUUCGAUUUUAGCUGAUCUGGAGAUCAAGUGUUAAAAACCAUCUCUGAUAAGGUAGAAGGUAGUUUUUUUUUUUCCUUGCUCUGGAACAA
Cercocebus atys (sooty mangabey) is the source of this 2974-nucleotide long non-coding RNA. RefSeq lists it as uncharacterized. The record is from RefSeq and is a predicted model, not a curated record. The transcript has 2 exons. NCBI's taxonomy places the organism in Eukaryota, Metazoa, Chordata, Mammalia, Primates, Cercopithecidae.